Molecule: ribosomal RNA, 116 nt
Filed under: Lepisosteus oculatus (spotted gar)
Lineage: Eukaryota; Metazoa; Chordata; Actinopteri; Semionotiformes; Lepisosteidae
Source: RNAcentral
GCCAGCAGCCAUAUCACCCUGCAACUCACAGCUGGCAGCCCACUGAAGCUCAGCAGGUGUGAGCCUGGUCAGUACCUGGAUGGGAGACCUCCUGGGAAAAGCUGCUGCUGCUGGAA